This 229-nucleotide long non-coding RNA is filed under the name Elaeis guineensis (African oil palm). RNAcentral describes it as "long non-coding RNA (EGUI_LNC057914)". Lineage: Eukaryota; Viridiplantae; Streptophyta; Magnoliopsida; Arecales; Arecaceae. The record is from RNAcentral.
UAGGUGUGACCAUAGGGCCCUAACCCCCACUGGAGAAUAUUCGAUUUGGAGCCGAGUUUGGGUGAAUAGGUGGCCUCCUCUCCUGAGCAUGAAUUAUUCAUGAUUUAUGAAUUUGAUGCAUGGUAUUUUGAAUUGAUGAAUAUAUCUUUCUUUGAAAUGUUAAAUGAAUUAUUAUUAAACGUAUUAAACUUGAUAUGGAUUAUUUGAUUGAUUUUAAUAUCCCAUGGUU